UCGAAUAAACUUGGUUAGGUUGUUGCUGGUCCCUUCUGAGGGGGCAUGUGCACACCGACUCCAUUUUUUAACCCCUGUGCACCUUCUGUAGACCUGAAUCACUCUUCAAGUUGUAACAACUUGGUCAGGGAAUUGCUGCGUGUGUAAAGCCAGCUUUUCUUGUGUUCAGGUCUAUGUUUUACAUACACCCCAUUAGAAUGUUGUCAGAAUGUCAUUAGCGGGCCAUUGUGCCUUUAAAAACAAUA
This 245-nucleotide unclassified non-coding RNA is filed under the name uncultured Basidiomycota. RNAcentral's name for it is "sequence contains ITS1". The record is from RNAcentral. Lineage: Eukaryota; Fungi; Basidiomycota.